Molecule: long non-coding RNA, 2252 nt
Organism: Ictalurus punctatus (channel catfish)
Lineage: Eukaryota; Metazoa; Chordata; Actinopteri; Siluriformes; Ictaluridae
Source: Ensembl
UCCGGUGUCCGGUCCAUUUCCAACACCGUUCGGAAUUGCACUCGGCUUCGAAAUCCAACCGUUGCGAUUAAAAACCAUAGCCGUGUUCAUUCCCCCGCAUUUUCCGUGACGUCUGACUUAAGAGUUUCUCAAAUAACGCGACGGAUCCAAACGGUUGGUGCGUGUGGUCGGACAUUUCUGUAGUCCCUUUAGUUCCUACCUGCGAUUACUUCACACAGAAAUGGAAGAAAAACCUGUAAGCAUGGUUUCUAAAGCUUGGAAAGAAGUACUAGAGAUCGUUGGUGUCUCUAGUGAGUGUACUGAGCUAGCUACCGUUAGCUUGCUUUGUGAAUAUGAGAACAAAGCUCGUACGAAUCCGAGCACGUAACGUCGAACAAUUUUCCUGAUCCAGAGUAAUUUUACUGUUUAAGAAUUAAGAUUUAUUUCUUAGUUUAUAAAAAAAAAAAAAAACUGUAUAUAUUUGUGGUCAAUUUUUUUUGGUGUUAUUUUCAUUCGGUUUAGAAAAAACGCUUCGGAACCCUGACAUCCAAAUAAACGUGACCAUAGCGAAGAACAACACUUGCUUCAUUUCAUGCUAUCGUAAAUAUCUUAAAUAAGACGCACAUACAUUUCUACUACAUAUCGGCAGCUGAUGUUCUUUUGAAACACACGGCAGACCAAGCUGUCGGUAUUUUCUGUUUUAGGUCUUCAUACAAUUCAUCACUUUGCUCUUAACUACUGGUUCGAGCCUGUUUGAACUUUUUUUUUUUUUUUUUAAAAGGAAUCAAGUAAAAACUAAACGGAUCUUAAUGGGGUUCAUUAAAUAAAUUAAGCUUGUAAUGUGGGUGGAAAUUUUUUGAGCUUGCUAAUAAACGCUGCUAAUCGAAUCCGUCUGUUUUCAAUAUGAAAAGACAAUUAAAUUAACUCGGGGUGUUCUUUGGUUUCUAGGCACACAAAGGAAAAUAUGUAGCUUUAUUAUUAUUAUUAUUAUUUUUUUUACAGUUUAUAUGCGAAACUGUAAAAAUCUGAAUCCCACGCUUAUAUAUUCAGACUUUGGACAAGACUGAGAAAAUAAUGCUUUAUUGUAUAAUAGGCAAGUAUGACAGUUCUGGGGGUGGGGGUGUGGGGGUGUGGGGGGGGAACGGUUUCAUUUUGGAAAAAUAAACAGAGCAUAAACAAAAUAUAUGUACAUAAUUAAGGAAAUUUGGAAAUAAUAGUAAUUUGGUAAUUAAUAAUAAAAGUAGGAAUGAGCGAGAAAGUAAAAAAAAGAAACCUGCAGAGAGAGACUGGAAUGCAACGUAGCAAAAAUACUGUCAUUGUAAAAACAUUGGCAAAAACACACUUAUUACGAAUACAACAGCUAACAGAAGCUUAUAUUUUCCAUGUGUAUACUUAUAUACAAGUAAAAACAAAACAACAAAAAAAAAAACAUGCAUAGUUUCUGUUUUAUGGUAUUUAAUAGUACCAAGUCGUAUCAGAUUUUAGAACAUUCAUAUCGAAGUAAGCUAAUAGGAUUUUACACAGCUUAGUCACAUCAGUUUCUUUUAGCAUAUGAUAAAAUUAUUACUAAAAACAUAUAAUGAAAUAUAAUGACUCAGAAGCUCUGAAUGACCCAAUAAUUGGUCCUAAGCAACUUGGAACAAUUUAGAGUUUCAGUUUGGAAGUGAAAUGCAGAGUGGAGUAUUGUAGAGUAUAGAGGAGUGGAGCAGAGUAUUUUAGAGUAUUAUGGAGGAGAGUAUUGUAGAGUGGAGUAGAAUAUUGUAGAGUAUUGUAGAGCAGAGCAUUGUAGCGUAGAGCAGAGUAUUCUAGAGCAGAGUAUUGUAAAGUAGAGCAGAGUGUUGUAGAGUAGAGCAGAGUAUUGUAGAGCAGAGUAUUGUAAAGUAGAGCAGAGUGUUGUAGCGUAGAGCAGAGUAUUGUAGAGCAGAGCAUUGUAGAGUAGAGCAGAGUAUUGUAAAGUAGAGCAGAGUAUUGUAGAGUAGAGAAGACUGUUGUAGAGCAGAGUAUUGUAGAGUAGAGCAGAGUAUUGUAGAGCAGAGUAUUGUAGCAUGGAACAGAGUACUGUAGAGUGGAGCAGAGUAUUGUAGAGUGGAGCAGAGUAUUGUAAAGUAGAGCAGAGUAUUGUAGAGUAGAGAAGACUGUUGUAGAGCAGAGUGAUGUAGAGUAGGCAGAGUAUUGUAGAGUAGAGCAGAGUAUUGUAGAGCAGAGUAUGCUGUAGCAGAGCAGAGUAUUGUAGAGCGGAGCAGAGAGAGCAGAGUAUUGUAGAGCAGAGUAUU